CCUACGGGGGGCAGCAGUGGGGAAUAUUCGGCAAUGGGCGCAAGCCUGACCCAGCAACGCCGCGUGAAGGAAGAAGGCUUUCGGGUUGUAAACUUCUUUUCUCAGGGACGAAGCAAGUGACGGUACCUGAGGAAUAAGCCACGGCUAACUACGUGCCAGCAGCCGCGGUAAUACGUAGGUGGCAAGCGUUAUCCGGAUUUACUGGGUGUAAAGGGCGUGUAGGCGGGACUGCAAGUCAGAUGUGAAAACCACGGGCUCAACCGGUGGCCUGCAUUUGAAACUGUAGUUCUUGAGUACUGGAGAGGCAGACGGAAUGCCUAGGGUGGCGGUGAAAGGCGUAGAUAUUAGGAGGAACACCAGUGGCGAGGGCGGUCUGCUGGACAGCAACUGACGCUGAGGCGCGAAAGCGUGGGGAGCAAACAGGAUUAGAUACCCUAGUAGUC
This 443-nucleotide ribosomal RNA is filed under the name uncultured bacterium. RNAcentral's name for it is "partial 16S ribosomal RNA". It matches the Rfam family "Bacterial small subunit ribosomal RNA", at positions 338 to 795 of the family's 1533-position model. The record is from RNAcentral.